GACAGCAAGGAGGGCGUCCACAGUUGUCGUGCCCCCGCUCCCGCACAUCGCGCCGCCCCAUCUUCCCCGACUGUCGUCCCGCCGCAGAAAUCUCGCCCGCCCCUCCCCCCUCGCCCGCACGUGGACCCGCCUCUCCUCGCCGUGAUCUCCACUUCUAGCAAUGACGUCCGCGCAAUCCACUCCCCCCGAUCUGUCUCACCUCCAUGGAAGUAUUCGAUCUGCCGCUCCCAAAUCUCUCCCUGGAAUGUCGAUCCGCGUGAUCCACUCCCCCGAUCUGCCUCACCUACAUGAAGUACCCGAUUUGUCGCUCCCAAUCUCUGCAUCGCGUGGACGCCUUCCAUGGAGUCUCUGUACGUAUGCGCGAUUUACUCCCCCUCCCCCCGAUCUGCCGCUCCCAAUAUCUCCCUGGAAGACCGAUCUGCAUGGUGUGGACGCUCCAUGGAGUCCCCACCCCGCAACCCCGCUCCGUGCUGUGCGGCGACGCGAUCCUUGCCGACCUUCGCGAGCCAGCGCCGCGCCGGCUCAUGGAGUGGGACAUCUAGCAGCCGAAGAAGAAGUUCAAGAGGGGCGGCAGACGCUCGUUCGCUGCGUAAGACGAUGAGGACUUCAAAGCCGACUCCAGCGAUUUGGAUUUGGAGCUCACAGAAGGGGCUGACUCCAGAAGGGCUUUCUCCAGAGGUAUUAGCUCAAGCUUAUUUUCUAUGGUGGUAUACGUAUUUUUGCGUUUGAUUGUUGCAGACGAUUAGAAUCUACGAGUUGGUUGGGGUGCCGCCGCCGCCGCAGGGAACCCCUCGCUGGCGGGUCUGGUCGAGUCCGGUGCGCUUGUACGCGUAUCGUGGCGGCAGUUUGGCCCUGUCCCGGCGUGGUGGCGGCAGUUUGGCCCUGUCCCGGCGUGGUGGCCGCUAAACUUCAUGGAGCUCGAGGACGUGUGGAUCCUCGGCACCUCGCACCUCUCCGCGUCCUCCACACCGUCAAAGGAAAAGAUCAUCGUGGCCCCCUCAUUGAAGAGCCUCCAUCUCUGCCUGUGCCAUUACGUCACUAAUCAAGGUUUUGCAGAGGCAGUUAAUUGCUUCCCUCAGCUCGAGGAGCUAGACAUUACAUUCUGCUCAUUGUAUGGCAUCGUGUGUGAGACUGCUGGGAGAGCCUGCCCGACAACGUCGUCGUCUAGCUCUGCCGGAGCAGGCAAGGACGUGUAUCCCCUUAAAUGUUAUGCCGCUUAAACAAAUGCUGUCAAAUCUUCUUCCGGGAGCGGGGCUAACAAACCACGUUGCAGAGCCCUCACUUCGGAGCUGGAAUCAUGUACUCGUCCAGUGCCAACGAGCCGCUUUUGAAGUCCAACAUGUUCUCUCUCGGUGGCUCCAAGUUCUUAGGCGCAAUCAACAGAAGCAUCAACUUGGGUGGGCAGAGCGCUCUUGCUCUCCGUCUGCUCCGCGUUGUUUUUCCUUCUAAAAUUUCUACCAGUGCGAACUAUCCGUUUGGAGGAGAGUUCCGAGCAACUAGGAGAGUUUCUGAAGAUAUUGGAAGUACAACACAAAAAGGUCAGAACCACUUUUCAAUCUAACCAGAUGUUUAUAUGUUUGGUGGUGAAGCUACAAAAAUUCUAGACUAUGUGGAAUAUUUCCCAAAUUGAGUUGGUAAUGGAAAGUAAAGGACUGCAGAAUGUGCCGCUUCUGGUCUUGAAGGUUUCCAACAUGGUUCGUCAAUGGAAAGGUAGUAUCGGCUUGCGAAAUAUAUUCCUAAGCCUACAGAAUGUAAGCUAAAAUCACGUGCUCACUGUGUACAUUUUUUUCUGGUAACAACAACUUUUUCUGAAAAGAAUGAACAUCCUAAAUCCUUACUCUCUGUAGAUAAGAAGCAUCUAGAAUAAAAGAUAUCCAAUGCCUUUACUGUUUGUACGGUAGAUUUUUCUUUGUCAUAUAUCAUAGUUACCUCUUGAAGUACAUUUCAUCAAGUUGUAGUUAGCCCUUGAUGUACAUUUCAGCUUUGAUGUAUACUAGCACAAAACAGAAAGAAUCAUUAUGGUCGAACUACUACUAUAAUGAGAAUUUCACAUGCUACUGCUAGAUUAUCUUGUAUGCAUGGUUCUUGAGCAUAGUCACAUUAUUUCUAAAACUAAUUCUGGAGAGUAUGUUUAUGUGGAGUUAGAAAAAGUAAUAUACAAAUACAUAUUAUUCUAUAGCAGCUUUAUAGGUAUAAAAAAUUCCGUAUGUUACUUCUGGUACAGACAUUUUUUCUAUAUAAUUGAACAAGCACACCUGUAACUGAAUCCGUUUUGCAACUCCAAACUAAAACUGGAAUGCAUAAUAAUUGCAUAUACAACAACAAAUAUGUUAUGAUAUAUAGGAAUCCAGAUUCCCUGUGCAAUGUAAUAACAUCAUUAAGGCCUUGUAACAGUCAGGAUAGCAUCUGAGUAGUUUAAGUGUUGUCGGCCUAUGUGCUCUAGACGAGAAUUUUUGCUUUGUCAUAUAACAAAUUCUAGGAACUUUUUUUUGCAAAAUUAUAACCAUUUAUCACUUAUCAGGAUGUUGUGUUGACACUAAACAUUCUCGCCUUUCUUGGUAAUAGUGUCCACUUAAGUUAGACGAACUGCCACCAUUCUUUCCACUGCUCUGUUUCAACUUCCUCGCAAAAAACAUAGCGACCUGCAUGUGCGUUUUUUGCCAUGAUCUCAGUUCUCUUUAGCUCCGUCUUCCCCCUUCUUGAUCUCAGCUUCAACCCUUAUCUUUUGUCUCCCUGUCCAUCUCCAUCCCGGUGUGAUCAACUUUCAAGAAGCAGUUGGGACUGGACCUUAAUUUUUGCAUGUCUAGAGGAAAUUGCCGGUUUGGUUCGUAUUGUGUAAGAAUUUGAGAUUUUGAGUUAGAUUAUAAUAAUUAAUAUGUGGUGUUCAUUUUUAUAUAAUUUAUUGAAACCGUACAUAGCGAUAUCGACCUUGUACUUCUACCAGAGUGGCUGAAGGCACUCGUGGCCCAUGGGCUCCUCAGUCGUUCCUUCGUCGGUGUAGAAGGUGGCUGACGAGUAACCCAGGACACGGUGCGCGAGGAAGAUAAGCCAUGGUUGUUUCUGCCGAUCAACAGAUGACAGGCAGUGCUCGAUGAACCUGUACUGCUCCGUUCCUGGCCUCCAGUCCAACUCGGUAUUGGCUUACGCAGAAACGGAACAUCCCGUAGUCCGUUGAGUACCUAGAAUUAUAAGCUGAUGUUCAAUGAGAGCUUCUUACAGAAAAAAGGUGUCAUGAGUAGUGAAAUUUCAGCCAUCUCAGCUUCAUCAAACACCAUAAAAGGUUGUUAAUGUCCUCUUUUGCCUGUCUAUUAUUUAUUUUAGUUGAACCAGAAAUAUCUUUGUAUUUGACCACGUAUAUAAGCAGUAGCUUCAUGUUUUAUUUCAUACCAGAACUGCUCACGGUUUUCUGCUGGCACGUAGAACAUAUUCUGAGCUGGUACCCCGCAUUCACCACCUGAAUCAAGAUUUCCAUAGAAAGAUCCUGAUCCAGGCCAAUCUCUUUUGUGGCUACCACUGCAACCACAAAUUAGUAGCAUCAGAAACAUAUAAAAACUGUAUCGUUUUAUUACUUGAUCUAUUGUCGAAUUGGAAUCCUGGAGAACCUCCCAACCAUGUAAAGCACAGUAGAAGCAAUGGGCUCAACCUGUGCAGUGAAUUGGUCGCAUUGUGAAAGAUAGCCAUUGGCAUAUGAGCUGGUUUGUUGUGUUAAGUGAACCAGGCUCAAAGUCAUUGGACUCAUUUGAACCAUCAACCUCAGUCCGUUGAGAUGACUAUAAUGUGGUGUGGUGUGACCCAUGAUUGACAUAAAUUAAGAAGAUUUGGUGGGCUUGGCUUGAUGACAACAUUGUUUUUUUGUGUCUGUACACGAUGGCAGCAGUGCUUUCGCCUUAUGUGUGCUGCUCUUCAGGUCUCUAUGGAUGACAUCGCCCCCUCUCCCGCUAUUAUUAAUUUAAUUUGUAGCGAGACUGACAUGAUGAUGAUAAGAUGACGGAUCGCCAUGUCAACAUGGGAUGCUCAUCAUCGAAUGAUUUUAUCUAUAAUUUGCGAUGUGUUUUGUGAGAUGAGUCGGGCGAUGGAAGUUGGUCAACAUGCACCAGAGGUCGAGGCUGCUGAAGCAUCAGAUGAAGAUGUUGAGGCCUACAUCGGCAAAGCCACCGGUGGUGUGCUGAUUUAUCUAUUACUUUUCUUAAACAACAUAUAUAGAAAUUGUCCCACUCCUGUUUACUACACAAAGAUGUUAAGUGUAUUGCAACACAAUAAAUGUUUUUAUGACUAAGUUUUUAAUCCAAAAUAUUCCGAGUUUAGUUAUGUAUUGGUUAUUAUUACUCCAGUCCAAUCAUGGUUAUUACCUGUUUAUAUAUCUGCCAGGAUAUUUACUCCUUUGGUGAACGCAGAGAUGAAUUGAGACAAUAAUGGAAUGGUGACCUUCAAGGAAUUCCUUUUUGCUUUUACUCAACCGAAGAUUAGGCGUUCUGAAUCGAUCGAGCCAGCCCCUCAGGAGGCCUCCAGCAGCUCCCUCCUGUCGUGCCUCGGAAGUAGUAGCUCAUGUUCUAUAUGUGGCGAGCUGAUGGUAGAAAUUACCAGGUUCAUUCUCUUCUGUGAUAUGUGAAGCUCGAGUGAAAAGAAAAAUUAUGUGAUGAGAACAUAGCAGCUGAAGUUGGAAUAUAUUGAGAUGUCUAUAAUGUGGUGUGGUGUGACCCAUGAUUGACAGAUUAAGAAGAUUUGGUGGGCUUGGCUUGAUGACAGGCGACAGCAUUGUUUUUUUGGAUGAGUCGGGCGAUGGAAGUUGGUCAGCAUGCACCAGAGGUUGAGGCUGCUGAAGUAUCAGAUGAAGAUGUUGAGGCCUACAUCGGCAAAGCCACCGGUGUUGUGCUGAUUUAUCUAUUACUUUUCUUAAACAACAUAUAUAGAAAUUGUCUCACUCCUGUUUACUACACAAAGAUGUUCAGUAUAUUGCAACACAAUCAAUGUUUUUAUGACUAAGUUUUUAAUCCAAAAUAUCCCGAGUUUAGUUA
This is a long non-coding RNA of Zea mays, 5015 nucleotides long. RefSeq lists it as uncharacterized. Lineage: Eukaryota; Viridiplantae; Streptophyta; Magnoliopsida; Poales; Poaceae. The transcript has 7 exons. The record is from RefSeq and is a predicted model, not a curated record.